UUAUUCCCGGCAAACAAUGCGAGGGCUGGUGAGGUACCUCUCGCUCUAAUUUCUCUAGUCUAGUCUAGUUGCCUCGCUUCCUCCUAUAGCGAUUCUGUCGAGCUGAGCUUUCACGUCCCUCAUCACCGAUCUCCUUCCUACCCCUCGCCUAAGAUCGUCUGACGUCUCGCCUGACACCUUUCGUUGUGUUAGUACUCCGCGGCUGCUGUCACUGUAGAAAUUAGGUUGUGUGUGUAAAAAAACGUAAACAGUGUUGUGGGCUGAUCAAUUUUGGUAAGUUUUUUAAUAAUUAUGUUCUUAAUUUUACGUAAGUAAGUGCCAUUUUAGCAAAAGUAAGUGGUAGAAGUCCUGCCCAAUGCGUGCUGGCUCCGUCGGAAGCGGUACCUGCAUGUACCGGCAUAGGAAAGUGGUGUGAUGAACAACACAACAUAAGGCAGCGGGUAAGUUGUUAGCCAAACAUGAGCAUAAUUAUGAAGCAAUUUAAUGCUAAUCGUGAUAUUUUUUAUCCAUUUUUGCAGGUAUCCGUCCAACAGCAGGUUUCAGUGGUAAAUGUGCAGAAAUCUGUGUGGUGGAAUGCGUAAAACAGCACUUUUGAAAAGUUAACUGUCCAGUGAUGUUGUCGGGCUUUGGUGAUGCACGCACGCACCACAAUGUGCAGGGACAUUCACCGACAGAAAGAUUUUGUUCCCGACAUGCAGUUACACACAGAGCGAGAAUCAACAAAGGUAGAUGUACGAACAGCCGCUACUAGUUGAUCGUGACGGACGAUAAAAUGAGGUCCCUUCGAACUAUUUGAGAGGAAUCGUCCUAAAUUUGUUCACGACACGAUAGCAUUUGCUGGAACCAAAUACCUUUCCUUACAACAGGAUGUGUCGUAAACGGGUUGGUGCAAUUGCAGAUACGGUCUGUCGUUCUGCAAAGGAUACAUAGUGUCAUAUGACCCACCACACUCAGCGAUUGUCGUCCUAUUAUUGUGUAGAUAUGUUUUUGUAGGGCAUUUGCAUGAACAGUGCGGAUGGAACGUUUUACGUGUAGUAUAGUCGCGUGAUUUGUAAUGCAUUCGUGAACGGAAUCCUGUUUGCAUUCGUUGAAUGUACGUAACCAGGUAGCGUAGGGACACUGUAUGUGAUAGACUGAUAAUGGGGGCCCUUCACGAUUCUAGUUAGUUUUUUGUAUGGAGUUUGACAGUUGGAGGCUGAAAUCAUGUAAACAAUCCAUACAAAACCACACAAAAAACUAGCCUGCGAUUUUCAGUCUAGAAAAUUUUAGCCUAAAAGCUAGAAUUAGAUUCGAGUACCUGCUCGAAAACACGGGUUUGUUUACAUUUAUCUCAAGGUGCAUUAAAGAAAUCAGGUGAUCGAAUCUGGAAUCAAAGUGUAUGUAGUCCAGGUGGUCUCAUAGCAUGUUUUUAUAACCAAAUUUGAAUAUCACUUUUUGACAGAACGAGUGAAAACUUUUGCUCCAACGAGCUUUCUUUAGGCUUGACGAAUACUCAAAACACUCUUACAAUCAUCAUUCAGAAGCAGAAGCGAUAAAAAUAAGCCUUCUAAAUUCAUACACCUUGGGAUAAGCCCACCUGUAUAUUAUACUCACUUAGAUAGCUGCUUGAAAAUUGCUAUGCAAUGCACACAGCUGACAGGCUGAAAUUUCAGCCUACGAGCUUCAAACGGAAAGGGCCCCAAUGAUAGGAAAAAUUAAACGUAAGGGAAGGUAAAAGAUGUGAUAACUCAAUGUUAUGUUAC
This is a long non-coding RNA of Anopheles gambiae (African malaria mosquito), 1742 nucleotides long. RefSeq lists it as uncharacterized. The record is from RefSeq and is a predicted model, not a curated record. NCBI's taxonomy places the organism in Eukaryota, Metazoa, Arthropoda, Insecta, Diptera, Culicidae. The transcript has 3 exons.